This 298-nucleotide ribosomal RNA is filed under the name uncultured bacterium. Its description in RNAcentral is "partial 16S ribosomal RNA". It matches the Rfam family "Bacterial small subunit ribosomal RNA", at positions 151 to 452 of the family's 1533-position model. The record is from RNAcentral.
GGGAAACUAGGGCUAAUACCCCAUAUGUGACGAGUUGAAAUACUUUUCAUGAAAGAUUUAUCGUCUUAAGAUGAGCCUGCGUCUGAUUAGCUAGUUGGUAGGGUAAAGGCCUACCAAGGCGACGAUCAGUAGCUGGUUUGAGAGGAUGAUCAGCCACAAUGGGACUGAGACACGGCCCAUACUCCUACGGGAGGCAGCAGUAGGGAAUUUUGCGCAAUGGGCGAAAGCCUGACGCAGCAAUACCGCGUGAGCGAUGAAGCCCCUUGGGGUGUAAAGCUCUGUCAGUAGGGACGAAUUU